GAUCAUGGCUCAGGAUGAACGCUGGCGGCGUGCUUAACACAUGCAAGUCGAACGAAGCACUCUAUUUGACUUUCUUCGGAAAUGAAGAUUUUGUGACUGAGUGGCGGACGGGUGAGUAACGCGUGGGUAACCUGCCUCAUACAGGGGGAUAACAGUUGGAAACGACUGCUAAUACCGCAUAAGCGCACAGGAUUGCAUGAUCCGGUGUGAAAAACUCCGGUGGU
RNAcentral lists this ribosomal RNA (224 nucleotides) under uncultured bacterium. Its description in RNAcentral is "partial 16S ribosomal RNA". It matches the Rfam family "Bacterial small subunit ribosomal RNA", at positions 15 to 219 of the family's 1533-position model. The record is from RNAcentral.